This 274-nucleotide ribosomal RNA is filed under the name uncultured bacterium. RNAcentral's name for it is "partial 16S ribosomal RNA". It matches the Rfam family "Bacterial small subunit ribosomal RNA", at positions 523 to 796 of the family's 1533-position model. The record is from RNAcentral.
AUACGAAGGUCCCGAGCGUUAUUCGGAAUCACUGGGCGUAAAGAGUAUGUAGGCGGUUUGGUAAGUCAGGUGUGAAAUCCCGGAGCUCAACUUCGGAACUGCAUCCGAUACUGCCAGACUAGAGUAAUGGAGAGGCAGGUGGAAUUCUCGGUGUAGCAGUGAAAUGCGUGGAUAUCGAGAGGAAGACCAAUGGCGAAGGCAGCCUGCUGGACAUUUACUGACGCUGAGAUACGAAGGCCAGGGGAGCGAAAGGGAUUAGAAACCCCGGUAGUCC